RNAcentral lists this ribosomal RNA (440 nucleotides) under uncultured bacterium. RNAcentral describes it as "partial 16S ribosomal RNA". It matches the Rfam family "Bacterial small subunit ribosomal RNA", at positions 338 to 795 of the family's 1533-position model. The record is from RNAcentral.
CCUACGGGAGGCAGCAGUGGGGAAUAUUGCACAAUGGGGGAAACCCUGAUGCAGCAACGCCGCGUGAGUGAAGAAGUAUUUCGGUAUGUAAAGCCCUAUCAGCCGGGAAGAAAAUGACGGUACCUGAGUACGAAGCCCCGGCUGACUACGUGCCAGCAGCCGCGGUAAUACGUAGGGGGCAAGCGUUAUCCGGAUUUACUGGGUGUAAAGGGAGCGUAGACGGCGAUACAAGUCUGAAGUGAAAGCCCGGGGCUCAACCCCGGGACUGCUGUGGAAACUGUGUUGCUGGAGUGCUGGAGAGGCAAGCGGAAUGCCUAGUGUAGCGGUGAAAUGCGUAGAUAUUAGGAAGAACACCAGUGGCGAAGGCGGCGUGCUGGACAGUAACUGACGUUGAGGCUCGAAAGCGUGGGGAGCGAACAGGAUUAGAUACCCGAGUAGUC